Molecule: non-coding RNA, 230 nt
Filed under: Acetobacterium wieringae
Lineage: Bacteria; Bacillati; Bacillota; Clostridia; Eubacteriales; Eubacteriaceae
Description: T-box sequence
Rfam family: T-box leader
About the family: Uncharged tRNA acts as the effector for transcription antitermination of genes in the T-box leader family. T-boxes are found upstream of many aminoacyl-tRNA synthetase genes and some amino acid biosynthetic genes usually in Gram-positive bacteria.
Source: RNAcentral
UAAAAUGCAUUGAGAACGAAGGCUCUAAAUACAACCAUUUCAGAGAGAGAGACGCGGCUGAAAGUCUUUUAUCGUUGGUUUAGAGUUGCCCCGUUUGAGCAGCUGAAGAAGAAAGUCGUAAUCCCAUAUUCGAUCAGUAUUUUCAGUCGGGAAACCGUUAUUUAGUAAAGUGAGUUGCCAAUGAUUUUGCAGCUAAUUUGGGUGGUACCGCGGAUUAAACCGUCCCUUGC